This 2782-nucleotide long non-coding RNA is filed under the name Parus major (Great Tit). RNAcentral's name for it is "lncRNA (ENSPMJG00000006282.1)". Lineage: Eukaryota; Metazoa; Chordata; Aves; Passeriformes; Paridae. The record is from RNAcentral.
UCAGCACCCGCUUCUCUGCGCCCGCCUCCCCCGCGCGGGCCAAUCAGCGCGCGCGCAGCGGCCCAGCCAAUCGCAGCACAGCCGUUGGGGUGUGGGGGGGGAGGCCGUAACGACCCCUCGGGCCGCCCCCGCCCCGCGUCCCCUCACGGGCCGCCGCCUCCCCCCCGCCGCGCUCCCCGCGCACUCACCGGGGCGGCCGGCGCCGCGACCUCCGCCUGCUCCGCCCGCUGCCCGCGCUGCCUCCGGCGCGGCCUGCGGGAGGCGGGGGGGGAAAAGGGGGGCGGCCGAAGCGGAGUGAGCGCCGAGCGGCCGAGAAACAAGAUGGCGGCAGGGCCGUGAGGCGUCGGGGCGGAGGCUCCGCCCUUUUUUGUCCCCCCCCUUCCCCUCCUCGGGCUGGGCCGCGGCGGCGCGCGCGGGCGCGUGACCCAGCGGGGAUCUCGCGAGAGUGGAGACUGGAAGCAGCUGAUAAUCAGAAGAAAAACCCCAAAAGCAGCCCUAAAGGAAGGGGAAGCAAAGGCUGCCUUGACAUUCCCCUCAAAUCCAUCAGUUCUGGAACAACAUCCAACUGGAGUAAUGAGGAAAAAUAGGAAAAGGAUUCCAUCCCAAAGAUUCUCCAGGUGCCUGCCUGGAUCCUCCAAGAUCCCUUCCCCAUGUGACAGUUUCAUCCUGUGGAUCCUCACAAUUCCAUGGAGGAACCUAAGGAAUUUAUUCCCACCCCUGGAUGGAUUUCUGUUGUUAUCCAUGGAUAUCCCUGGCAGUGCAAUCCCAGGGAUCAUCCAGGGACGUUCCUGGCUGAGCUGCUCCCUCAGCACAGGAAGAUUUUCUCCUGCCAUCCUGGAGCUUCUUCAAGCCAAGCAAAAUUCCUGCAGUUUUAUUGGAAGUCUUGAGACUGAGGGCACUUGUAAGGCAGCCAAGAGAAAUAAAAGUCGGGAUCAUGGAGUGAUUUGGGUUGGAAGGACAUUCAGGAUCAUCCAAUUCCACCUCCUUCCCACUAUCCCAGCUUGCUCCAACCUGGAAUUGAAUACUUCCCAGCACCGAGGACGACGAUCCAUCCCCACAAUUCCCUGGAAAACGCCCCAUUUAUUAAUUAAUUACCGAGCACUGCUGCUCCUGCUGCUGCCAGGCCCAGCUGUCCCAGCACCCAGCUUGGAUGCAGCUCCUCUCCAGGGAUUUCUGGACAAUCCCCCCUUGCUCCUCCUCCCGCCGGAUCCUUUUGUGCGGCUCCGUUUCCUCCCCACCUGCUCCCUUUUCCAGCCGCAAUGGAUCCAUUGUCUGGAGCUGCUCGGCUUUUCCCACAGGGAUUGCAGCUCCACAGAGCUCCCUGUCAGCCUGCCCGGAACGUGGAGGAGCCAAGGAAAACAUGAAACAGGGAAGGGAAGAAAAAAAAAAAAAAAAGGAAAGGAGAAAGUGCUUUUGCAGGAAUUUGGUGGCGCUCUGAUGAGUUUGGAUUUACCCAGCACCUUCCAACUGCUCAUCCCAUCCCUCCCAUGCUUCCCACUGCACCCCAGACCUAGAUUUGGGAGCCAAGGAUUCGUCUGGCACCAAGGAAAACCAGCUCGGAGCAGCAGAGACAAGGCUGACCCUUCCCAGCUCAGCCCCUGCCAUCCCCUGGGAUUCCUGUUUCAGCAGGACUCUGGAUUUAUCCCAAACCAGCUGUUGCUUUGGGGCAAUAAUCCACAGGCAUGGGAAAACCUGGAUAUAAAUUCUUUCUGGACAUGGACACACUUGCUUUAUGGAUCUGCAGGAAAAAGAGGCCAUUUAGGGCCAGAUUUGGGGGCCUGACCCUUUGUGCCACAUCCCACCUGGUGCCUGUCCUAGCUGGGAUGAUCCAUAGGGUAUUAAAGGAUAUCUAAGGAUAUUUAGGAAUAUGUCUAUGCCUGGACACUGAUUUGUUUAAACCUUCUGCUCUGAAAUUAAACCUCUGGGAAUAUAUUUUGACCUUUGGGUGUUCCCAAAGGAUUCCUUGAGGGCCCAGAAUUCCUGAGGGAUGAUCCAGGAUCAACUGUGGGCUUGUGGGUCCCCUUUUAUGCUCAGGUUUGAACCUGUGUGCCAGGAAAUUUUACUUUUUCUAAUCCAGAUGGGAAUUCCCAACAGAAUCCUGGUCUCCCUCAUUUUCCCAGCCCUCAUUUCCUAAGGAAGAGCUGACAGAAAACAGGAAAAACCUACAAAACUUUAGGAUCAGCACUGGGAGCUGAGGUGCUCAGCCUGGUGAUGAUUGGGAGGCCUCAUUCCCAAUAUUCCCACUCUGCUGGCAGAGGGGAGAGGAUUUCCCAGGAAUGCACCUCCUGCCCAGUUCAACCCCCUGGCUGUCCCAGUAUCCAGCUGGUGAGCUCUGGUGACCUGAUUGCUCCUGCCAGGAGAUUUUCCAGUGUCUCCACACAGCUCCUGCUCCUGCCAGAACUGGGACACGCCUCUGGCAGGGAGAAGGGAAGGAGCUGACCCAGCUCCAGCAGCUCAUCCUGCUGGGCACUUCCAGAGGGGCCAGGGCUCAUCUCACAGCCAGGACAGGGACUGGCACCUUCCUAGAGCAGGGUUAUUCCAGGGAAUCCCCACUGGGAUUCCCAGUCCUGCCAUAAACCAGCCCCUUUCCAUAACCCUUCUCCAGAUGCAGCUUCUCCUUCCCUGAAUGCAGUUCCAGGACCUCCAGAACAGCCUCAGAGCCUCCAGGACAGCCCCAGGAGCACCCUGGGAAGCUCCAGGAUUCUUCUGGGAAGCCUCAGUCCUCUGGAAAUCUCCAGGACACUAUUGGGAACCCUCAGCAUCCUCCUGGGAAGCCCCAGGA